AAACUUUCAACAACAGAUCUCUUGAUUCCGACAUCGAUGAAGAACACAGCGAAAUGCAAUAAGUAAUGUGAAUUGCAGAAUUCUGUGAAUCAUCGAAUCUUUGAACGCACAUUGCGCCCCCUGGUAUUCCGGGGGGCAUGCCUGUCCGAGCGUCAUU
This 157-nucleotide ribosomal RNA is filed under the name Histoplasma capsulatum. RNAcentral describes it as "5.8S ribosomal RNA". It matches the Rfam family "5.8S ribosomal RNA". From Rfam's summary of the family: 5.8S ribosomal RNA (5.8S rRNA) is a component of the large subunit of the eukaryotic ribosome. It is transcribed by RNA polymerase I as part of the 45S precursor that also contains 18S and 28S rRNA. The record is from RNAcentral. Lineage: Eukaryota; Fungi; Ascomycota; Eurotiomycetes; Onygenales; Ajellomycetaceae.